This is a non-coding RNA of Gymnopus androsaceus JB14, 94 nucleotides long. The record is from the annotation of a GenBank genome assembly. Lineage: Eukaryota; Fungi; Basidiomycota; Agaricomycetes; Agaricales; Omphalotaceae.
GGCCGACUAGCUCAGCUGGUUAGAGCGUCGUGCUAAUAUAACUUGUCAAGGUGCUGUUACGCGAAGGUCUUGGGUUCGAUCCCCACGUUGGCCA